UUUCCCUUUUCUUCGGUCAAAGAAAUCCUAACAUCAAACACAUUCGCUUAGAUCUUUUGCUGAAAUUCUUCUUUGUUAAUGGAGGCGGCGCGAUCGAAAGUUCUUAGAGAUGUUCUAGAUAUUUGGAGACCUAAGGAUCAUGUCUGCCAAUUAAUGAUACAGCAGCACAGCGAGCCGUAGCAUCAUGCAAGUGCUGCCACAAGCCGGAGGAUAACCUCCGUGAACUAGAACGUUCUAAGCUACGUGAAGAUCUAAAGGUAAUAAACGAUGAUGUUGUCAAUUCUGAGGCUAAGCUCCAUACCCUGUUUGUGAAGUGGCUCGCGUAUAAUGAACACAGCCAUUUUGAUCUGGAAGACCCCAAAGCUUUUAGAGAGAGGUUUAGUAUUUUUAAGGGCACUUCUCGGUUCAUCAACCAGCAUAACAAAAGCGGCUCUCCCACCAAUUUGUGGAUUAACCCCUUUUACAGAUUUGACUCUUGAUGAGUUUGGAAGUAGUUCGUGGAAGACCUAUCGGAAGAAACCUAACCAGGUUAUAGCUGGUAUACCCGAGUACAUGGAUCAGAAAGCUAAUUAACUAACCAGGUCGUAGCUGCUGGUAUUGCUGUGGUUGGUCUUAAUAUGAGUGUGGGAAGUUUCUAGUUAUUUAUUUUGAUGUAUUCUGCUGUUGGACGAGUAGUAGUAGUUUAGUAAUAGCAGUAGUAGGUCUUGAAAUGGAACUCUUUGUUGAAACUUGAUUGCAUCUUCUCUGGCUGUAAAUUCUAGUAUUGGGUUUCAGACAUUUUUUCUAUAAAAUUUGUUGUGCAA
Molecule: long non-coding RNA, 803 nt
Organism: Papaver somniferum (opium poppy)
Lineage: Eukaryota; Viridiplantae; Streptophyta; Magnoliopsida; Ranunculales; Papaveraceae
Exons: 3
Source: RefSeq, a predicted model, not a curated record